RNAcentral lists this ribosomal RNA (216 nucleotides) under Glomeromycotina sp. Its description in RNAcentral is "partial small subunit ribosomal RNA". The stretch from base 40 to 216 matches the Rfam family "Eukaryotic small subunit ribosomal RNA", at positions 686 to 864 of the family's 1831-position model. The record is from RNAcentral. Lineage: Eukaryota; Fungi; Glomeromycota.
GGGUCAGUAGGUUGGUCGUGCCACCGGUACGUACUGGUCUCACUGAUUCCUCCUUCCUGAAGAACCGUAAUGCCAUUAAUUUGGUGUUGCGGGGAAACAGGACUGUUAAUUUGAAAAAAUUAGAGUGUUUAAAGCAAGCUAACGCUUGAAUACAUUAGCAUGGAAUAAUGAACUAGGACGAUCGAUCCUAUUUUGUUGGUUUCUAGGAUUGACGUA